CUUAAAUCGCAGAACAAGAGAGUAAACAUUUGGAUAUCGAUAGCGAAUUAGGGAUGGUGGAAGCCUAAUGGAUGAAAUAUGUUGAACCGCACUUGGGAGAUGUUUAUCUGAACAAAGAGUAGGAUAAACCGCAAACCUAGCGUUACAGGAGAGAGGUCAUAUGAAUAACAUAUGGCAAUUAGAGUGGUACCGCGUUUAACACGUCUCUAGA
This 211-nucleotide non-coding RNA is filed under the name Erysipelothrix rhusiopathiae. RNAcentral describes it as "T-box sequence". It matches the Rfam family "T-box leader". From Rfam's summary of the family: Uncharged tRNA acts as the effector for transcription antitermination of genes in the T-box leader family. T-boxes are found upstream of many aminoacyl-tRNA synthetase genes and some amino acid biosynthetic genes usually in Gram-positive bacteria. The record is from RNAcentral. Lineage: Bacteria; Bacillati; Bacillota; Erysipelotrichia; Erysipelotrichales; Erysipelotrichaceae.